GAUGAACGCUGGCGGCGUGCCUAAUACAUGCAAGUCGAGCGAACGGACGAGAAGCUUGCUUCUCUGAUGUUAGCGGCGGACGGGUGAGUAACACGUGGAUAACCUACCUAUAAGACUGGGAUAACUUCGGGAAACCGGAGCUAAUACCGGAUAAUAUUUUGAACCGCAUGGUUCAAAAGUGAAAGACGGUCUUGCUGUCACUUAUAGAUGGAUCCGCGCUGCAUUAGCUAGUUGGUAAGGUAACGGCUUACCAAGGCAACGAUGCAUAGCCGACCUGAGAGGGUGAUCGGCCACACUGGAACUGAGACACGGUCCAGACUCCUACGGGAGGCAGCAGUAGGGAAUCUUCCGCAAUGGGCGAAAGCCUGACGGAGCAACGCCGCGUGAGCGAUGAAGGUCUUCGGAUCGUAAAACUCUGUUAUUAGGGAAGAACAUAUGUGUAAGUAACUGUGCACAUCUUGACGGUACCUAAUCAGAAAGCCACGGCUAACUACGUGCCAGCAGCCGCGGUAAUACGUAGGUGGCAAGCGUUAUCCGGAAUUAUUGGGCGUAAAGCGCGCGUAGGCGGUUUUUUAAGUCUGAUGCGAAAGCCCACGGCUCAACCGUGGAGGGUCAUUGGAAACUGGAAAACUUGAGUGCAGAAGAGGAAAGUGGAAUUCCAUGUGUAGCGGUGAAAUGCGCAGAGAUAUGGAGGAACACCAGUGGCGAAGGCGACUUUCUGGUCUGUAACUGACGCUGAUGUGCGAAAGCGUGGGGAUCAAACAGGAUUAGAUACCCUGGUAGUCCACGCCGUAAACGAUGAGUGCUAAGUGUUAGGGGGUUUCCGCCCCUUAGUGCUGCAGCUAACGCAUUAAGCACUCCGCCUGGGGAGUACGACCGCAAGGUUGAAACUCAAAGGAAUUGACGGGGACCCGCACAAGCGGUGGAGCAUGUGGUUUAAUUCGAAGCAACGCGAAGAACCUUACCAAAUCUUGACAUCCUUUGACAACUCUAGAGAUAGAGCCUUCCCCUUCGGGGGACAAAGUGACAGGUGGUGCAUGGUUGUCGUCAGCUCGUGUCGUGAGAUGUUGGGUUAAGUCCCGCAACGAGCGCAACCCUUAAGCUUAGUUGCCAUCAUUAAGUUGGGCACUCUAAGUUGACUGCCGGUGACAAACCGGAGGAAGGUGGGGAUGACGUCAAAUCAUCAUGCCCCUUAUGAUUUGGGCUACACACGUGCUACAAUGGACAAUACAAAGGGCAGCGAAACCGCGAGGUCAAGCAAAUCCCAUAAAGUUGUUCUCAGUUCGGAUUGUAGUCUGCAACUCGACUACAUGAAGCUGGAAUCGCUAGUAAUCGUAGAUCAGCAUGCUACGGUGAAUACGUUCCCGGGUCU
RNAcentral lists this ribosomal RNA (1372 nucleotides) under uncultured bacterium. RNAcentral describes it as "bacterial SSU rRNA". It matches the Rfam family "Bacterial small subunit ribosomal RNA", at positions 28 to 1381 of the family's 1533-position model. The record is from RNAcentral.